This is a long non-coding RNA of Eriocheir sinensis (Chinese mitten crab), 3112 nucleotides long. RefSeq lists it as uncharacterized. The record is from RefSeq and is a predicted model, not a curated record. The transcript has 3 exons. Lineage: Eukaryota; Metazoa; Arthropoda; Malacostraca; Decapoda; Varunidae.
CUCGUCCUUGGCUGGCUGUCCCCGCGUCCUUGGAGCGGCCAGAGAGACCGCCGGCAGUGCCCAGCAGCGGCUGGCAGCGGUGAGGAAGGGGCGGAGGAGCGACCACGCUCCACCAAGAUCUCCACCAAGGCGAAGACCUGGCGGCUGUGGGAGUCAAGUUGUUGGUGGUGCCCAGGCUGGAACACUCCCCGGCCCCGCCCAGGGCUACGACAACCUGAGAAGGCACAGCAAGACACUGCCCCUGGCUUAUAAGGUAUUGGUGGUGGUAGUAGUAGUAGUAGUAGUAGUAGUAGUUGUAAGCCAAGAUGUAUAAUAACUAUUUGUGGUUUUGUUAAGGUAGGUUAGGUUUAGGGUAUCUUCUAACACAUGACAGCCAGCACCUAAGGGUAUAAAUCAACACAGAAUGACCUCACUUUGUUGCAUAGAAAGUCUCAUUAGCAAGGAAGCAUAGAUGAAUUUUCUGAGUCAAGACCUAUAGUGUUUGCUUUUGGCUUUGAUAUGUUAAGUUAGGCCAAGUGUAGGUCAUCUUCAAACACAGGACAGCUGGUAACUUAUGGUAUAAAUCAACACAGAAUGACCUCACUGUGUUGUAUAGAAUGUCUCGUUAGUAAGGAAGCAUGUAUGAAUUUUCUGAGUCAAGAACUGUAGUAACCGUUUAGGGUUUUGUUAGGUUAGUUAAGUUUAUGGUAUCUUCAAACACAUGACAGCCAGCACCUUAGGGUAUAAAUCAACACAGAAUAACCUCACUGUGUUGUAUAGAACGUCUCGUUAGUAAGGAAGCAUGUAUGAAUUUUCUGAGUCAAGAACUGUAGUAACUGUUUAGGGUUUUGUUAGGUUAGGUAAGUUUAUGGUAUCUUCAAACACAUGACAGCCAGCACCUUAGGGUAUAAAUCAACACAGAAUGACCUCACUUUGUUGUAUAGAAAGUCUCAUUAGCAAGGAAGCAUAGAUGAAUUUUCUGGGUCAAGACCUAUAGUGUCUGCUUUGGGCUUUGAUAGGUUAAGUUGGGUCAAGUUUAGGUCAUCUUCAAACACAGGACAGCCAGCACCAUAUGGUAUAAAUCGACAAUGAAUGACCUCACUGUGUUGUAUAGAAUGUCUCGUUAGUAAGGAAGCAUAGAUGAAUUUUCUGAGUCAAGACCUGUAGUAACUGUUUAGGGUUUUGUUAAGUUUAGGGUAUAUUCAGACACAUGACAGCCAGCACCUUAGGGUAUGAAUCAACACAGAAUGCCCUCACUUUGUUAUAUAAAAUGUCUUGUUAGUAAGGAAGCAUAUAUGAAUUUUCUGAGUCAAGACUUAUAGUAACUGUUUAGGGUUUUGUUAGGUUAGGUUAGUUAAGUUUAGGGUAUCUUCAAACAUUUGGCAGCCAGCACCUUAUGGUAUAAAUCAACACAGAAUGACCUCACUUUGCUGCAUAGAAAGUCUUGUUAGUAAGGAAGCAUGUAUGAAUUUUUCGAGUCAAGACCUAUAGUAACUGUUUAGGGUUUUGUUAGGUUAGUUAAGUUUAGGGUAUCUUCAAACACAUGACAGCCAGCACCUUAGGGCAUAAAUCAACACAGAAUGACCUCACUGUGUUGUAUAAAAUGUCUCGUUAGUAAGGAAGCAUAUAUGAGUUUUCUGAGUCAAGACCUGUAGUAACUGUUUAGGGUUUUGUUAGGUUAGGCUAGUUAAGUUUAGGGUAUCUUGAAGUGCAUGACAGCCAGCACCUUAUGGUAUAAAUCAACACAGAAUGACCUCACUUUGUUUUAUAGAAAAUCUCAUUAGCAAGGAAGCAUAGAUGAAUUUUCUGAGUCAAGACCUGUAGUAACUGUUUAGGGUUUUGUUAGGUUAGGUUAGUUAAGUUUAUGGUAUCUUGAAGCACAUGACAGCCAGCUGUUCAAGUGAUCUCAUACAAGCAAGCAUAUCAACCUGGUAGCAGCGACGGGCCAAGUUUGUGGCUUUACCGUGUACCAGCGACGGGCCAAGUUUGUGGCUUGACCGUGUAGCAGCGACAGGCCAAAUUUGUGGCUUUACCGUGUAGCAGCGACUCGCCAAAUUUGUGGCUUUACCGUGUACCAGUGACGGGCCAAAUUUGUGGCUUUACCGUGUAGCAGCGACGGGCCAAAUUUGUGGCUUUACCGUGUACCAGCGACGGGACAAAUUUGUGCCAUGUUAUAAACCCCCCAAAAUAGAUGAUGCAUAAACUGAACACAAAUGCUUUGAUAUAUAUUAUGAAAUGGUUUGUGUGAGUGAUGAUUUUUUCCCAUUUAUCUCGCUUGGAGGGACCAUUAAGAAACAUGAUGCCUGCUGCUGCCACCACCACCGGGUUAACAUGUGCUGGCGACGAUCUGUUCACACGUCACUUGCCGCAGCGUUGAGGCGGGAUGCAGCGUGCUCUGAGGCCACCCCGGGCAGGAGGCAACAUGUGACCUCGGGCGCCAAACCUUUGACCUCUAUUCAGGAGCAGUAAGUAGCGGGCUUUUUUUAUAUAUAUUUUUCUUUACGCCCUUGAACUGUCUCCUUAGCUGUAAAAGAAAGAAAAAAAUUUAAAAAAUUACUCAUUGCCGUCCUGGAGUGAACAGACUGUGAUCCGGGUGAACGUAUUACUCGGGUGACAUGUUAACUUAUUCACUUUGAGGCGAGUGUUGCUGUCGAGAAAAUGAGUCAUCCUCACUUUGCUCUGAGUCUGAAAGCAUUAUGGAACAUUAUCUCUCUCUCUCUCUCUCUCUCUCUCUCUCUCACGGCCCACAUUUCGACCGCCACACAUAUUUGACCAGGCUUUCCUAGGAGUUGUGGGCAUUUCCAGGGGUAGUUGUGUGACCCUGGUGGUAGUGUGACCCUUCCUCUGUACCAUGAACCCAACCCAGCUCUGUUUUGGCCCUGGGAGGUGGUUGGUGUGAGGGUCGGAUGCCAGGCUCACCAGCAGGGACUUGGCACAACACACACGAUAACUUGUGACUAUAAUUCUGCGCCUGACUGCUGCUGCUGCUGUGGUCAUAACUUUGGGGUGUAACUGAGAUGGGAUUUUUUUUAUUUUUUGUAUCUAUUUAUCUAUAUAUUUAUUUAUUAUUAUUAUUUUUUUUGUGUGUGUGUGUGAGAGAGGAAGAGGAGGAGGAAGAUUAUAGAUUUUUCCU